UACAGAGGUCCCAAGCGUUGUUCGGAUUCACUGGGCGUAAAGGGCGCGUAGGCGGCGGGGUCAGUCGGGUGUGAAAUCUUGGGGCUUAACCCCGAAACGGCACUCGAAACUGCCCGGCUGGAGGGCCGGAGAGGAGAUCGGAAUUCACGGUGUAGCAGUGAAAUGCGUAGAGAUCGUGAGGAAGACCCGUGGCGAAGGCGGAUCUCCGGACGGCUAACUGACGCUGAGGCGCGAAGGCCAGGGGAGCAAACGGG
This 254-nucleotide ribosomal RNA is filed under the name uncultured bacterium. RNAcentral's name for it is "partial 16S ribosomal RNA". It matches the Rfam family "Bacterial small subunit ribosomal RNA", at positions 524 to 776 of the family's 1533-position model. The record is from RNAcentral.